This 2039-nucleotide long non-coding RNA is filed under the name Homo sapiens (human). Its description in RNAcentral is "HSALNT0039697". The record is from RNAcentral. Lineage: Eukaryota; Metazoa; Chordata; Mammalia; Primates; Hominidae.
CGCCCCUCUCCCCGGAAGAAUGGGGGCCUCUGCUCACACCAGAUUGGUCGGACGGCAUCACGUGACCUCAUCUCUUGGACUCGCUUGCUAUUCCCGAAAAGGGGGAAAGGAUUUGGGGGGGACAAUCGCGGAGCCUCUCGCUGGCUUUAGGGAGAGAGGGCUGGGGUAGAGGAGAGCCCCAGGGAGCAGGCAGAGGUGGGUUGGCUAGGGCCUUGUGUGACUUGGGCUGAGAAACUUCACUUAUUCCCUGGCGCUGGCAGUUGUCAAACUGGGUCUUGUAGAUGCUAAGUCUCCAUAGAGGUAUCGUAGGUGUUCAAGAUGAAGGAGAAGGCUCUCAUUAACAUGGCCUCACAAGAGAACCAGACUUCAGGGAGAGGAGAGCAGAAGGAUAUUCUUUCUGGGAGCCCUGAGCCCAUCUAACCUCCAGUUCGUCCAUCAACUGAUUACUGCUCAGUCACCUCAGAUGAUACCACUGGGAGCCAGAGAACUGCCUAGCUGUGCCCUGCCUGAAUGUCUGACUCAUCACUCAUGGUGGAUGACCUUUUUCCUGAAGAAACUGCUGCAGAAUGAAAGCUCCAGGCGCUUGGGUGCAGCAAGUAGGCUAUGCAUUUCCCACCAGCAGGAAUCUAGCUCCUGGCCAAGGUGAGCCACGCAGAGCAGCAGCCACGGGUAUCAUCCUCCCAGGAGGCAGAUCCCAAUUCGCGGAGAAGACCCGGCCAGCGGGAGGAUGCCAGCCUCAUCCUCAAGGCUGGGAUUGGGACUCUUUCCAGAAGGAACGACCUCUGUGCUUGAGUUGGUUGGGGGGCGCAAUGGAUUCUUUAACACUGGGGAAAUUCAUACAGAUGAAAGUGAGAGACACAUGACAGUGAACUGUAAACAUCAGCCAGGUCUUAGAAACGCUGGGGGAGGGACACACAAACCUUGUGAGAAGAAAAAUAAGCUUUUGUGGAAGUGAGGUUUGGAGGCCAAGAGUCCUUUAAGCGUCUUAAAGGAUCCACUGUGCAUCCUUUGUUAGUGGUGGGUGUGCUUCCUCCAACACUAGCCUUUGGUUUACUUUUAUGUGCCACUGGAUUCUGUUGCUCCAGGGAUACCAGGCUCUUUAGAAGCCAUUCUAGCAGCUGGUCUCUGCUUGGGAAUGUACAAGUGUUGGCUCUGGGACAUGUAAUCGCCUGUGCCUCCUGAUGUGGUUUCCAAGCAUCCACUGAGGUUUCUUUCACUUUGGGGGAAAAGAUGAGAGGCCCUGUGCUUAAACAAUUUGGAAGCAGAAAUCCAAACACCAGGGACCUGAGUGCAGCAAGGGCAGGGUCCUGGGAGGGCCUCUCCAGAAACCGCUCUCCUUCUGGAGGGAGGAUGGGGUCAUCUUUGCUGAGCAGAAGGCAGCGAUGGUUUCCUUUUAGAUGCUGUGGGUGCCCCUGUCAGCAAGAACCCCAGUUGUGGCCUCAGGGGUGGGGAGGAGAGCUCUUUCAGUGUUGCCUUAGGUGUGUGUCUGUGUGUGUCCUAACCCAGUCCUUCCCACACUCCCCCACGUGCUGAUCACGACGAGCACCUCUAAGGCUGGGUCUUUGCAUUAGAAAGUUAUUUGUUAGGGGUACAGGGGGCAAAGAAGGCACCUGGCACUCAUCCUCACCUCCAACUCCCAUGCUUGGGCAGGAUGUCUUUGUCCCUGAGUGAGGUGACGAGCUUUGCUGGCCCCACAGUCUUACCUGCCUGGUCGGGUGAGCCAAGGGGGACCCUGUCCAUGAUGUCUGGGCCAAGAUGUCCCUGUUGGCGACCCUGGAGGGUCCUCUGUCCUGCUGCUGCUCCUGUGGUCACGUAGGGGGUCUGCUCCUCAUGGACCCACCACCCCCGUGUAGUUGUAAUGCAAGUGAGGGGUUCUAAUUUUGUCAGCUUUAUCUUAGUGAAAUAAAGGUUAAUAUCACAGAACCGAAAACAAAGCUUCUGCUCAUUACUAGGGAGUUUCAGCUACUCCCUUUCCGCAAAACAAUAAAUCCAAUCUUAACAUUUUCAGCUUUCUCAUGAUUCUCACUCUCCCUUCUCAG